Long non-coding RNA from Eucalyptus grandis, 258 nucleotides. RefSeq lists it as uncharacterized. NCBI's taxonomy places the organism in Eukaryota, Viridiplantae, Streptophyta, Magnoliopsida, Myrtales, Myrtaceae. The transcript is spliced from 3 exons. The record is from RefSeq and is a predicted model, not a curated record.
GGCAGCGACCUUGGUUGACUACUACAUCAACGUUGUUCCGCUUGUGGCUUGGGUUUGGUAAAAGGAAUCGAACUUUUUUAGCGCUUUACUUUGGACAGUGCUUCUUAUCUGCCUAGGCAGUGUCACAACGUGCUUCUACAUUCUUUUGCAAUUUCUCAAGCUCUCACCUCAGGAGUCUUCACAAGAUAUGUUCUGCUACAGCAUUCUAGCAAGUAUGUUUGCACUCCAUUUUAUUAUAUCAUUGUUGUUUCUACGGGA